This 234-nucleotide ribosomal RNA is filed under the name uncultured bacterium. RNAcentral's name for it is "partial 16S ribosomal RNA". It matches the Rfam family "Bacterial small subunit ribosomal RNA", at positions 118 to 347 of the family's 1533-position model. The record is from RNAcentral.
UGAGCAAUCUGCCCUUCUCAUCGGGAUAAGCGUUGGAAACGACGUCUAAUGCCGGAUACGACCUCCUUUCACAUGAUCGGAGGUGGAAAGCUCCGGCGGAGAAGGAUGAGCUCGCGGCCUAUCAGUUAGUUGGUGUGGGUAAUGGCCCACCAAGGCGGCGACGGGUAGCCGGCCUGAGAGGGUGACCCGGCCACACUGGGACUGAGACACAGCCCAGACCUCCUACGGGAGCAG